RNAcentral lists this unclassified non-coding RNA (164 nucleotides) under soil metagenome. RNAcentral describes it as "partial internal transcribed spacer 1". The record is from RNAcentral.
ACGAGUAAUAGUAGGUUUAGAGUGCAGCUGGUUUAAAUCCUAAUCCACCUAUGUGUACUCUAAUUCGAAAGUCCAUCAUUACUUUUAAAUUGAUCGACCAACUAUCACCUUAUUUUAAACAUCUAUUGUCUGGAAAAGUAUUAUGAUAUAAACAAGUUCAAAUA